AAAAGUACAGUAGACUAAGGGAGGAGAGGCAAUACAGAGUGAAGAGUGGAUUAUUUUUAAUUCAUCCUUUGAAGGGGAGGAGGUUACUUACCUUGCAUGGCAGCUGGCUUCGCACAAUAUCAAAAGAUCACUCAAGAAUCACGGAAUCACAUAUAACACAAAAAUCCAUCUUGUCAGGCUUCAAGUAAUGAAGCCUGACAAGAUGACAACCAGCGGUUCAACCAAUCAGUGUCCAGUAAGAAGCUACUGGCAGCUGCAGCCAUGAUUAAGCCUUUGUGAAUAUCUUUCCCAGGCGGCUGAGCUGAGGGAUAAGUCUACUGUAGAGGAGGGGGAGAAAAAGGAAGAGGAAGAAGAACGAAGAGAGGUAAAGGAGAUAGGGUAGCACUGAGCCGGUCUCUAUCUCCCAGUGAAAUCAGAGUUUUUCCAGUCAGAGCGCGUUCUCUAUUGACCUCUGCCCCUUAUCGAUCCACCACUCUUAAUGUACUCCAUGCGUGUGUUUGUGUGUUUUAAGAAGAGGCAGGGAGAAACCGAAAGUAGCAGGUGUUGUGUGUGUGUGUGUGUGUGUGUGUGUGUGUGUGUGUGUGUGUGUGUGUGUGUGUGUACGUGUACGUGUACGUGCAAAUGCGUGUGUCAGCGUCUGAUAAUCUUCAGUAAGUGCCUUCACAACCAUAAAAAACCAGUAGGGAAUAUUCUGUUUUAUCAGCAGCAACUCGCUAAAGAAAAGAAGAUAGCUGCCUACAGAAAGUAGUUCAGUGUGUAAUGUGUGCGUGGAGGUGGGGUGGAAAAUAAGGGAAAAUAUGGACAAUAGACUUAAGCAGGGUGUGAGGAUACAUGCAACGUAUUAUUAAACUGAAGGGAAGGAGGAAAAUACCAGGAGGAGAAAAGCAUGGAGGUAAUUUAAAGAGCUAAAAGGCUCAUGGGAUCACCAAGCAUUUAUCACUCUCGCUCUCUUUACUCGCCUCCCGUCUUUCUUCAUAAACACUUGACAAAUUCACACACAUCCACACAUGAACACCCAUAUACACCACUCCUCCCUUCAUCCGCACAGCUGCAUUUUUUUUUUUUUUUUUUAUCUCUAGCCUUAUUCCACAGCUUAUGAAUUUUUAUAGGCCUCAAUCAGAACACCUCAGCAGUGUUUUUCUAUCUCCCAAAGUAAUGGACUUGAACCACCUGAGAGUUCUUAGACAGCCCUGUAUUCAUAGAGCUAAGGAAGUCAAAAUGAAAUGGGGAGGAGAAGAGGGAUGAAAGAUAAGGACGGACGGGACGUGGAUUAAUAAGGAGGGAUGGUGGGAAAAAGAACGUGCCUGCGGAGUGAUCGCUGAUUGCGGCUAGGGAGACAAAUUGAGAGAGGUAGAGUGGCCUUGGCUUAAAAAUGGAUUCCUACUGGAUGUCAACACAUGUGUUAGCAUGCAUACAAUCUCACACGCACAAACACAUACACAUGAAUAAACACACACACACACACACACACACACACACACAAGACACACAAAUGAGAGUCUGAUUGUUUCUGGGUUGCUUUGCUCCUGACCCCCUCUCCCCCCCUAAUUACAAUCACUGACAAAUGGAACUGCUUGGUAAUGCAAAGGCAGGCACACACAAUAACACACACACACACACACACACACACACACACACACACACACACACAUGCCCACUAAAAGAGAGGAAGAGAGAUGCACUGUUUUUGCUGAUUAGGAGGUGUCACUGUUCUUUUUGGACUCAGACGCUGUAUUUAGACACAUAAUGCACACACCUACACUUCACACACAUACACACAGAGACACACACACACACACACACACACACAUACUUUAUUUCCCCAGCAGAUGUAAAACAAAACUGCUCUGCAUUUAUUCUGUUGGAAAUUGUCCCUAUUGUGCCAUCCGCGCCAUGAUGUGUAACCAUUUGUCGAAAUCAAUGGAGCCCAGAAAUUGGUAUUAUUCUUUCAAUGGUUCAUUCUCUCUCUCGCCCUCACUCUCCAUCCCUCUCUCUCUCUCUCUCUCUCUCUCUCUCUUGCUCAUGCUUGAAUGCGAAAAAGUGAUUACCUGAGAAAGAAAAGGGGUUAGUACGUUAGUGAAAGGUGGCUGUUGUGUGUCUGCUGUCUCUGUGAAAAGACCUCUGCACGUCUCCUACUUUAUCUAGCCCCCACUUGUUUCGACUCAAAUGUUACUACGCACGCACACACACACCUGCGCACAUCGUGGCACAAUGAGCCAUCGACAUAAUAGAGGUACGCUGCGAAUGCUCACAGGAAAGACAGUCCACACACACCGCAUGUGCCAAAGUUGAUUGCCUGAAAACAAUGCUUCAUCAGCUCUCGCCAUAAUCACAGCACUUUUAAAGAUCUCGGGCUGAAAGACAGGGGAGCAGCACAAUGCAUAAACACAGCCAUAAGCCAGCUCUAUUCACAGGCUGUGUAGUUCUACCGACUGUUAAAGCCAUUCCCGUCUCCACGACGCAACAAUAGAGUGCAACAGAGAGACAGAGACUGAGGGACUGUAUUGAUAUCGAGCUCUGCUGAAUGGUCGGCUGACUAGCAUUUACUGUCACAGCAGAUGGAUGGUUUAAUUUUGGACUGGUGUGAGAAAAAAAAGUGGAGAGUGUGAGUUUUUGUGUAUUUGUGUGUGUGUGUGCGUGUGUGUGUCUGUGGACGAGAGGGCCCGGGGAGGUGACAGCCGUUAUCUUAGGCCUACAGACAGACACUUAGCCCUCCGCCAACCCUCAACCACUCGUCCCUAUGGCAUGCUCAGAAAUGUCACGAGCUGGCACUGUCACUCACUACACUUGUGUGUGUGCGUGUGAGUGUGUGGGUUUGUCUGCGUUUGCAUGUUGGUGCACACCACAUCAAACUCCUCUGCUUGUACCGUGCGCGUGCAGUUUGAGUGUGAGCCCAUGUGUCGAUGAAAAUUACGUCAAAUAUACGCCUGCUGCUUUGUGGAUAGUUUUCUGUUUUUGCUGUUAUUGUUCACACAUGCAAACACCGAGCCACACUUACAAAUAGACACACAUAGCAAUGUUUGGAGUGCGAGUAUCUCUGCUAUAGCUGCAAAGAUACAGAGC
This is a long non-coding RNA of Perca fluviatilis (European perch), 3063 nucleotides long. RefSeq lists it as uncharacterized. The record is from RefSeq and is a predicted model, not a curated record. The transcript is spliced from 3 exons. NCBI's taxonomy places the organism in Eukaryota, Metazoa, Chordata, Actinopteri, Perciformes, Percidae.